CCUACGGGAGGCAGCAGUAAGGAAUAUUGGUCAAUGGGCGCAAGCCUGAACCAGCCAUGCCGCGUGCAGGAAGACGGCCCUAUGGGUUGUAAACUGCUUUUGAACAAGAGAAAACCUCGGUACGUGUACCGAGCUGAUAGUAUUGUUAGAAUAAGCAUCGGCUAACUUCGUGCCAGCAGCCGCGGUAAGACGAAGGAUGCAAGCGUUAUCCGGAUUCAUUGGGUUUAAAGGGUGCGUAGGCGGCCUGAUAAGUCAGUGGUGAAAUCUCUCAGCUUAACUGAGAAACUGCCAUUGAUACUGUCGGGCUUGAGUACAGAUGAUGUGGGCGGAAUAUGACAUGUAGUGGUGAAAUACUUAGAUAUGUCAUAGAACACCGAUUGCGAAGGCAGCUCACAAAACUGUAACUGACGCUGAGGCACGAAAGUGCGGGGAUCAAACAGGAUUAGAUACCCUGGUAGUCCGCACCGUAAACGAUGAUUACUCGUUGUUGGCAAUAUGACCGUCAGCGACCAAGCGAAAGCGAUAAGUAAUCCACCUGGGGAGUACGCCGGCAACGGUGAAACUCAAAUGAAUUGACGG
Molecule: ribosomal RNA, 579 nt
Filed under: uncultured bacterium
Lineage: Bacteria
Description: bacterial SSU rRNA
Rfam family: Bacterial small subunit ribosomal RNA
Source: RNAcentral